RNAcentral lists this ribosomal RNA (374 nucleotides) under uncultured organism. Its description in RNAcentral is "bacterial SSU rRNA". It matches the Rfam family "Bacterial small subunit ribosomal RNA", at positions 526 to 896 of the family's 1533-position model. The record is from RNAcentral.
CGUAGGGGGCAAGCGUUGUCCGGAAUCAUUGGGCGUAAAGCGCGUGUAGGCGGCUGAGUAAGUCUGCUCUGAAAGCCCGGGGGCUCAACCCCCGGGAGGCGGGUGGAAACUGCUCAGCUCGAGUCCGGAAGAGGAGUGUGGAAUUCCUGGUGUAGCGGUGAAAUGCGCAGAUAUCAGGAGGAACACCAAUGGCGAAGGCAGCACUCUGGGACGGUACUGACGCUGAGACGCGAAAGCGUAGGGAGCAAACAGGAUUAGAUACCCUGGUAGUCCACGCCGUAAACGAUGGGCACUAGGUGUGGGGGGUGUCGACUCCCUCCGUGCCGAAGCUAACGCAUUAAGUGCCCCGCCUGGGGAGUACGGCCGCAAGGCUA